AGAGUUUGAUCCUGGCUCAGAUUGAACGCUGGCGGAAUGCUUUACACAUGCAAGUCGAACGGUAGAGGGGGCAACCCCUUGAGAGUGGCGAACGGGUGAGUAAUAUAUCGGAACGUGCCCAGUCGUGGGGGAUAACGUAGCGAAAGUUACGCUAAUACCGCAUACGAUCUAUGGAUGAAAGCGGGGGAUCGCAAGACCUCGCGCGAUUGGAGCGGCCGAUAUCAGAUUAGGUAGUUGGUGGGGUAAAGGCUCACCAAGCCAACGAUCUGUAGCUGGUCUGAGAGGACGACCAGCCACACUGGAACUGAGACACGGUCCAGACUCCUACGGGAGGCAGCAGUGGGGAAUUUUGGACAAUGGACGCAAGUCUGAUCCAGCCAUUCCGCGUGCAGGAUGAAGGCCCUCGGGUUGUAAACUGCUUUUGUACGGAACGAAAAGGUUUCUCUUAAUACGAGGAGCUCAUGACGGUACCGUAAGAAUAAGCACCGGCUAACUACGUGCCAGCAGCCGCGGUAAUACGUAGGGUGCAAGCGUUAAUCGGAAUUACU
Molecule: ribosomal RNA, 548 nt
Filed under: uncultured freshwater bacterium
Lineage: Bacteria
Description: bacterial SSU rRNA
Rfam family: Bacterial small subunit ribosomal RNA
Source: RNAcentral